Molecule: non-coding RNA, 73 nt
Filed under: human gut metagenome
Description: Cyclic di-GMP-I riboswitch
Rfam family: c-di-GMP-I riboswitch aptamer
About the family: GEMM was predicted in a large-scale screen for bacterial structured RNA regulatory elements. Genes associated with GEMM are involved in a diverse array of functions, including chemotaxis regulation, signal transduction, secretion and chitin.
Source: RNAcentral
UUGGCAAAACCGGUGAAAGCCGGCGACGCAAAGCUAAGAGGCUAAGGUUUUAAUACUAUGCUCGUCCAGCUGC